UGGGGGGGAACUACCAGGGGGAACCGUCGGACAGUUCUUGAGGUUUUAGCCCUCUCAAAAGCCAAUAACCCCAAGCUAGUCUUUCUGUGUGAGACUAGGCAGGAGGAUACUAAGGUUGAGAAAAUGAAGUGGAGACUAGGCCUAAAAGGCUUCCAUGGUGUCAGUAGCGAUGGAAGAAGUGCAGGACUUGUGUUGUUCUGGGAUGAGAAUCUCACUGUUACAGUUCUUGAAUCGUGUAGCAGGUUUAUUGAUGUUCGGAUUCUCGAAGGAGGAUCUGGUAUAUCAUGGAGGGGUACAUUUGUUUAUGGGGAACCGAGAGUGGAAAAUCGUCAUCUGAUGUGGGAUCAUCUAUGUCGCUUGCGGGCCGUGUCACACGAACCAUGGGUCAUGUGCGGCGACUUCAAUGAAGCACUCUGGCAGCACGAGCACUUUUCAAGAUCAGCUAGAGCGGAGACAUAG
RNAcentral lists this ribosomal RNA (459 nucleotides) under Triticum aestivum (bread wheat). Its description in RNAcentral is "partial small subunit ribosomal RNA". Lineage: Eukaryota; Viridiplantae; Streptophyta; Magnoliopsida; Poales; Poaceae. The record is from RNAcentral.